AUCGCAUACAAUUUCGACGAAGAAAAGUAAAUAUAGAAUAAAAUUUAGUUGAAAGACUAAAAUAAAACAAUCUGGUGGCAAUUUAUUGAAUCGAGAAGACGGUAGUGAGUAGGGCGUUCAAAUAAAAAUUGCAUUCUGUGGCCGCCGUUGCGCAGGCAAAUGGAACGAGUAAGAUUUCCAAAUGAAAUUGAAGCCACAGCAAAUAGUGCAUAGCUCCAAGGCUUGGAAACAAAUAUAGAAGCUAUACGAUGCCAGAAAGACUACAGAGAAUCGAAGAGCGCUAACCAGGAAACAGCGUAAAAGGGCCAAUUCGUUGAGCAAGGGCGUGCUCAUAGCAUGGAAAUACAAUGCAAACGGUGCCAAC
This is a long non-coding RNA of Rhagoletis pomonella (apple maggot), 364 nucleotides long. RefSeq lists it as uncharacterized. The record is from RefSeq and is a predicted model, not a curated record. NCBI's taxonomy places the organism in Eukaryota, Metazoa, Arthropoda, Insecta, Diptera, Tephritidae. The transcript has 3 exons.